This 694-nucleotide small RNA is filed under the name Histoplasma capsulatum var. duboisii H88. RNAcentral's name for it is "Histoplasma capsulatum H88 hypothetical RNA". Lineage: Eukaryota; Fungi; Ascomycota; Eurotiomycetes; Onygenales; Ajellomycetaceae. The record is from RNAcentral.
GAUUCACAAAACCGACAUCAUCCUCCGGACUGCUGGACGGUUCCCCAUCGUUAACAACCUCAUCAGCAUCUUCUGCACAUCUUAAUUACUUUGCCUAUUGUGCGAAUAUUCCUACUUGCCAUGUAGAUUCAGAGGCUUGCCCCAGGUUUUAGAGGAUGGGAAACGACGUCGCGCAGCAGGCUCAACAGCAGUCGGAGCAAGCUCUAUGAGCAUUGGAAGAACAGAUACGUCGUCCCUUAAUACUUUUUAAAUAUCUUGAUGCCUGCCAAACUUAUCCCUCAGCCUGAGUGUGUGGUUGCUACGGAGGAAAGUUUGCUACAUCAGAUGUGUACUCAAUUGCAGUCUCAGAAUUGAGUCUAUGGUAACUAGAUAUUGAGCGAUCAAACCCUCAAUUCAAGUGACGGUCUACUUUGCAAUGCGUCUUUGAAAACCCCAUCCGCACUGUAAAAGCCAUCACAAAAUGUACCCUGCAGGAUCAUUUUUGAAUCUCCACUAGGAUUGUUGAUGCGAUUAUGUUCAUGAGAUUUUUUUUGGUCUACCUUUGGCAAAGUUUUACCUCUUGUCAUGAUAACGUUGAUAGUAUGGUCACUGACGUAUUUACCUCAUCAACGAUAUUUAAAUCUGAUAACUCGGGUUAGGUUUGAGACUUAAGAGAAAUCUGUUUAGUAAUAUAUGUCAGAGAAUUGCAAGGGGU